UUAGAGUUUGAUCCUGGCUCAGGAUGAACGCUGGCGAGAUGCUUUACACAUGCAAGUCGUACGAGGGUUUUUAACUCAAGUGGCGGACGGGUGAGUAACACGUAAGAAUUUGCCUUUAGGAGGGGGACAACAAUUGGAAACGAUUGCUAAUACCCCAUAUGCUUUCGAGUGAAAUGGAUUUUUCCGCCUAAAGAGAAGCUUGCGGCUGAUUAGCUUGUUGGUAAGGUAAUGGCUUACCAAGGCGACGAUCAGUAUCUGGUUUGAGAGGACGAUCAGACACACUGGAACUGAGACACGGUCCAGACUCCUACGGGAGGCAGCAGUGGGGAAUUUUCCGCAAUGGGCGAAAGCCUGACGGAGCAAUCUCGCGUGAGGGAUGACGGCCUAUGGGUUGUAAACCUCUUUUUUCAGGGAGGAAUAAAAUGACGUGUACCUGAAGAAUAAGCAUCGGCUAACUCCGUGCCAGCAGCCGCGGUAAGACGGAGGAUGCAAGUGUUAUCCGGAAUCACUGGGCGUAAAGCGUCUGUAGGUGGUUUAAUAAGUCAACUGUUAAAUCUUGAGGCUCAACCUCAAAAUCGCAGUCGAAACUAUUAGGCUAGAGUAUAGUAGGGGUAAAGGGAAUUUCCAGUGGAGCGGUGAAAUGCGUAGAGAUUGGAAAGAACACCGAUGGCGAAGGCACUUUACUGGGCUAUUACUAACACUCAGAGACGAAAGCUAGGGUAGCAAAUGGGAUUAGAUACCCCAGUAGUCCUAGCCGUAAACAAUGGAUACUAGAUGUUGAACAGAUCGACCUGUGCAGUAUUAAAGCUAACGCGUUAAGUAUCCCGCCUGGGAAGUAUGCUCGCAAGAGUGAAACUCAAGGAAUUGACGGGGGCCCGCACAGCGGUGGAGCAUGUGGUUUAAUUCGAUGCAACGCGAGGAACCUUACCAGGGUUUGACAU
This 941-nucleotide ribosomal RNA is filed under the name uncultured bacterium. RNAcentral describes it as "bacterial SSU rRNA". It matches the Rfam family "Bacterial small subunit ribosomal RNA", at positions 1 to 987 of the family's 1533-position model. The record is from RNAcentral.